Passer domesticus (house sparrow) is the source of this 6134-nucleotide long non-coding RNA. RefSeq lists it as uncharacterized. The record is from RefSeq and is a predicted model, not a curated record. The transcript has 3 exons. NCBI's taxonomy places the organism in Eukaryota, Metazoa, Chordata, Aves, Passeriformes, Passeridae.
UUGUCUCUUUGUUUCCAGGCGGUGUCAAGGCCGAUUUUAACAUCUUUUUCCAUCCACUCACCGUUUCGGCUGCAACUGACGGAGCCGCUUCAUCUUACCAACUCCGACAUUGUUUCGGUUACCGUCAGCCCGAAGGAACCAGCCCGAAGACCCAUUGAAGAUGUUGCUCACCAUCAUACAUGUCCUGAUCCUGUGGACCAUCUUUCCAGCUACAAGUCCCUGGAUCGUCCCCCAGCCCAAGAAAAACGUAUGGAGAACUCUUGCUGACGCCCUCGGCCAAGACCAUCUGUGCCUUACCACGACCUCGGCAGCCGACCCUCUCUCCACUUGCCUUGUGGGGAUCCCGGUUUCUCUAGCUGGCCUCCCUGAACCCCUACAUACAUCCCUCACCUCUUUCGAUAAUAAAAUUCAACGUACCCGUGGUUCUUCCCCAAAUGCCAGCUGGAGAAGGUUCUUGACAGAGUUAAACAUCAGUAAGUCAGAACCUCAGGAAUUUAAGUUGUUAGGCUCCUCCGCGGCCGAUUUAUGUUUUCAGUUUUUGCCAUUCCCUGAACCCGGUGCGGAAAAGUCCGCUUAUCAUCCUGGACUUGAAUACAAAGCAGAAAAUUGGUGCAAUUCAGUUGUUGAAAUUUCUAUGUCCAUUACCCCUUGGAGACAACCCCGCUCCAUCCCAAAAGGAUUUUUCAUGAUUUGCGGAGACAGAGCCUGGGCUGGCAUCCCCUCUUCUUUUGUAGGAGGUCCAUGUACAUUCGGCAGGAUGUCGCUGUUUAGCCCCAACAAAACUCAAAUUUCUAAUUGGCAAAGAAUGAAAGUCGCAAACAAUUCGGUGAGAGUCCCUCGGGACCUAAAAGAAUUAGAUUCCACCUGCGACUCCGAAAUUAUCCAUUGGUCGCAACCUGAAAGUGUGGCAUGGACCAUCUUUUUGCCUUGGGUUUCCAUUGCCAAAUCUCUAGGUGAAUUGGCCCACCUAGAGUGUUGGGUUGCAAAACAAGCAAAUUUUACAUCCUCAGCCUUAAGUGAACUCCUACAAGAUGAAGAAAUCACAAGGCAAGCAACCUUGCAGAAUCGUGCGGCAAUUGAUUACCUAUUACUGUUGCAUGACCACCACUGCGAGGAGUUUGAGGGACUGUGCUGCCUGAAUUUGUCAUCGCGUGCUGAAAAUGUCAGGACCUCCAUCAAGAACAUUCAAGACAUGGUCCACAAAGUUAAACAAAAGACGGUUGAUUGGCUGGGGGACCUUUUUGAAGGAUGGGGUCUAUCGGGCUGGGCAGCUUCUGUCUUAAAAAGUGUUUUAUUAAUAUUGUUUGUAAUUUUAAUAGUCAUUGUUUCAGUUUCAUUAGUUUGGACCAUCUUAAAGAGACUUUUAAUCAAGCUAACCUCCACUGCCUCCGUCAACCGAGUCGCCUUCGUAGAAGAAGAAAAUCAUCAAAACAUCAACGAUUAUGAAGAUAUGCAAGUUUCCGCGGACCCUCAAGAGUUAAUUAAAUCAGACUCCUCGUCGGAGGACAGCGUUUAAUUUCCUACAUCCCCCUCCUCCCUCUUUUGAUUUUUUAAACAAAAAAGGGGGAGAUGUAGUGGUCUGCUAAUUUUUCAAAAUUUUGUAUUAUGUUAAGUUGUAUAUUGGUUAUCAUAGUUCUGUAGGUUAUGCUCCGGUCCUCUCUCUCUCUCCUUCUCCAGGGGCCCUUGAUCGCCCUGUCUGUCUCCCUGUUCUCCUCCCCUUUCCCCUCCCAGUUCUUUAAUGUUACAAUGUUUACCCUGCCCUGAGCCCUUGUCCGUCACAGGGAACCACCCCUUUCUUUCCAGAAGCUUCUGGGAAAAUAGUUCUGUGAUUGGUUCAAGGGCCAGGGCCACUCCCUAGGAAUGCCCCCAUUGGAUUCCCACGGUUGUUAGUCAUAUUUCCCCUCCCCAGUUCUCGCUUCUAAUUGGUUGUCCGGCUCUGUAUUUAAUCCCUUGUCAGGCUCGAGGUUAGUCGAGUCCUCGACAGACACCCCACCCUGCAUUAAACCUCCCUUGUUUGACACUACUGUCAGCCCUCCGUUUCUUCUUCCUCUGGCGGGUUGCAGCCACCUUACAACAUCUCCGUCUCUGCGGAUCCUCUGUCCCCAAGGCGAAAGCCUUAGGCGCCCUCCUCGGGAAAGCUUCACCUGUGGGAGAGUGCCCCCAGUGCUGCCGGCGGUGCUGGCCGAGCUAGCUGGGACAUUCCAUCAUUGAGGAAGCCAGCAGCCGCCGCUGCACCUGCCACCAGCACCUUUGCUUUUACAGACAAGGAAUGCAGUGAAGACAGGCAAAAGUUUAGGGAGGCAAGAUGGAGAAGAGCAAAUACAUGAGGCAGAGUGAGAACAAAACAGCAGGAGACAAGAGUACAAGAACUGAGUUCAGUGAGUGCAGGGGCACUGGCAGCCAUUUCACUUGAGAUGCUUCUACUUGCCCACAGCAUAGCAGCAACACACAAACAAAGCUUGGCACAUGAAACCUCUCCUGUCCUGAGCCACUGUUUCCCAGACAAUCCUGCCCAAGCCCUCGGCAGCACAGAUGGGAUUGCUGACCUCCCGACUGAUGGCUGCCAUCUCCUCUUCAGACAGGUAGCUCUUGCUGAUGACAUCGCUCAGGGUGCCUCCAUCCAUGUGCUCCAUAACCAGCCAGAGGUGCUCACCCAGAAGGUAGCUGAAAAAUGUGCCUGGCCUGGUUCGCCAAUUCAAACUCAGCUGCGAACAGACCAAAGCGAUUGUGGCCACAUGUCCCCAGUGCCAAUCACAUCAAUUACCAUCACUCAGUUUGGGCACUAAUCCCUGAGGUCUAAGCAGCUGCGAGGUGUGGCAGAUGGAUGUAACACAUCAUGCAGAGUUUGGCAGACUUUCCUACAUCCACGUGUCAGUAGACACGUUCUCUAGUGCAGUCUGUGCCUCUGCCCACACAGGGGAGAAAGCAUCUGACGUCAAGAAACACCUUAUAUUCGCUUUCUCCGUGCUGGGCAUCCCAAAAGUUAUCAAAACCGAAAACGGCCCUGCGUAUAAGUCCAGGGAAUUUCGGAACUUCCUGCAGCAAUGGGGAAUAGAGCAUAAGACCGGCAUCCCAUAUUCCCCGACAGGUCAAGCUGUGGUGGAAAGGACCCAUCAGAGUCUGAAAAGAGUAGUACAUCAACAAAGUUCGACGAUGAAGAUGGAGUCCCCACAGAAACAUGAGCCCGAUGAACCCCAUCCCAGUCUCCAUCACUGUCACCUUCAUCAUCUUCUGGUCCACGCUUCUACCAUCCAACUCGUGGAUCAUUCCCCAGCCAAAACAGAAGGUGUGGAAGCUACUCGCCAAGGCCCUCGGCCAAGACCAGCUGUGUCUGACGUCCACCUCAGCAGCAGACCCCUUGUCGACCUCCCUUGUGGGGAUCCCUUUUAAUACAGAUGAGUUCCCUACCCUCCUCGAUUCCUCCCUAAAACCCCUUGCCCAGUAUAAAGUCCUGCGCUCCCCCGGCUCCAAUCCCAACCUCAUCUGGCGACGUUUUGUUUCUAAAUUAAAUAUUUCAAAAUCUGAACCUAUUGAAUUUAAGUUGCUCGGCUCCGUUGUUGCCUCCAUUUGUGUUGAGUUUAUGUCCUCCCUUGACCCCACCGGAAAACCCUAUUUCCCCGUGAUCCAACCCAAUCAUGAGUACACAGUGGGAAAUUGGUGCACCACAGUUGCCCAUAUUACCACUGCCCCAACUUUUGAUGAAUACCCUAGAUCCCUCCCCCGUGGAGUCUUUUUUAUUUGCGGAGACUGAGCGUGGGUAGGCAUCCCCUCUCGCCUGACAGGAGGCCCAUGUUCCUUUGGGAGACUGUCACUGUUUACCCCCAACAAUACCCAAAUUACCAAUUGGAAAGCUAAAGUUGUCACACAUAAUUUGGCCCGUUCUAAGAGAGACCUGAAAGACUUAGACUCACAGUGUGACCCCGAAAUUACUCAUUGGUCAAUUCCAGAAGGUGUCGCAUGGACAGUUUUUUUGCCGUGGGUGUCCAUCGCGAAGUCUCUAGGUGAAUUGGCCCACCUAGAGUGUUGGGUGGCUAAACAAGCCAAUUUAACGUCAGCCAUCCUCAGUGACCUCCUCUCAGAUGAGGAAAUAACAAGGCGGGCUACACUCCAGAAUAGCGCAGCGAUUGAUUUCCUGCUCCUAUUGCACGAUCACCGAUGCAAGGAGUUUGAGGGGCUCUGCUGCCUGAAUUUGUCAUCUAAAGCUGAGGACGCCAGGAAAUCCAUCAGCGAGAUGAGAGACUUGCUUCAUGAGAUCAAGCAGGACACAUCAGACUGGCUGGGGAACAUCUUCUCGGGAUGGGGACUCUCGGGAUGGGUUAGAUCAGUUUUAAAAACUAUACUUUUAGUUCUUUUCAUUUUGUUAGUAAUUUUAGUUGCCACUUCUAUAGUUUGGAAAAUAUUACAGAGAUUAAUUUAUAAGUUAUUCUCCCCUUGCAAGUUAACCGGGUGAUGGCUGAGGAGGAAGGAUGUGAACUAGAAGAACUAGAAGAGCAACUAGAAGGAGGAAAUCUGGAAGUAGAAGAACUGGGCGUCCAUUCCUCCCAGUCAUCUUGACCCAGAAAAUCACAGUUCUGAUUUGAACUUUAGUUAUUAAGUCUCAUAUAUUUUUCUUUUCUUUUCUUUUUAAACAAAAAAGAGGGAGAUGUUGUAUUGUGUUUGUCAUGCAUUGUUUUAUUGAGCUGUAUAUUUGUUUUGUUCCACAUACCCCUACAGUUAUUAUGGUUCUGCCCUGAUCCCCUCUCUCCCUUUGAUCGCCCCAUCUAUCUAGUAUCUCUCCUCCCCGUCUCCCCUAACAACCCAUGUAUCCUUCCCUUGUUCCCUCCCUGGUACCCUGUCCGUCACUCGGUGGCCCAACCUUUCCAUCUAGAAUCUUCCACCUAGGGCAUCGAGUGAUUGGUUCAGGGGCCAGGGCUCCUCCCCAGAUCCUCCGUUAUUGGUUUACAUACUGUGUCACUCAACAUCACCUCAUGCCUACCUGUAUUUCUAUUGGUUGUUGACCACUGUCUUUGUAUGCACCCACUCCUCCUUAAAAAACCCUUGUCAGACCCUUAGCCCUGCCUUCAGCUGGUGGAUUCCCCUGGUGCUAAUAAACUGGACUGAACUACCUCUGAAGUCCGUCUCUUGUGGAUCUCCUGUGGGUCAGCAGCUCUCACCUUUUUGCUACUGCGGGUCCUCGUCGCCCAAAGGCUGAAAGCCUUAGGCGCUCUCUAAACCCGACUUGGGAUCAGGAGAGUGCUCCAGUGCUGCAGGCAGUGCUGGCCGCAGCCUGCCGGGAUUUGGCUUGAGGUCAGCCGCCGCUGCAGUAUAGUUCCACUGUUACAGUUAGAUGGAUUUUUCUAUUGGUACACUGAUAUUUGUAUUUAUAGAUAGCAUUCUUAAGAAUAUGUUUACAUAUGUCUUACUAUAUGUCAUAUGUAACACAAUAUAUAUUUACACUGCACAUUGUUGUGGUGUAUUUACUUCUAUUGAAAUGCGUAUGGAUUUGUACAGUUCUGAAAUUAUGUUCAUUUAGUUCUAGGCCUAGGGUUAUUUAGAGAGGAAAAUUGAUAUUCCUCUGUUUGUAUAUGGGCUGUUCAGUUGUAGUAAUUUGUAAUAAAUUUAAUUGUUAAGCUUUGAUUGAUAUUUGUUUCUAAUUAGUGUUUGUAGAGGUUUCAGUACAUUAGGUUUUUUUAACUGUAUUUGAUAUUUGUAUAUAUUUACAUUGCAUGAUAGUAGGAAAAAAUUUGUGUUGCAACCUUAAAUUGAUAUUUGUAUGUUGACAUCGCCAGUGUAACAAUUUAUAAAAAAAUUAUUUUUGUGUAUUUAUUUAGUGUUGCAGCGCUGCAGGGUGGUAGAAAUGCUGCAACCUUCUUGGAGGCGUCUCCUUCAGAAGCCGCUCUGAGGAAGGCCACGAGAACAGCCAUUUCCAGUCCAUGCACACACACACACCACAGACAGCUCAGCGCAGGAAAGACAGGAAGGGUCUUUGCAUGGCAUAGUCCAGCAAGGGUUUUACUGCAUCCAGCACACCAGAGGGACCAGAGACAAAAGACCAAACCAUGUGGUCUGCAGGACUUCAGUGUGGGGUCAGUGACCAAUGACCUGAGGGCACAGGGGCGGGCACAGGGCAGGGCCAAGGGCAGCAACCUGUAGGG